AUAGCAUAUAUUAAAGUUGUUGCAGUUAAAAAGCUCGUAGUUGGAUUUCUGGGAGGAUGUCAAUGUCCGCUCGAUUGCGUGUGCAGCGACGUCCUUCCAUCCUUCUGUUAACGUUUCUUGGUAUUCAGUUACUGGUUUCGGGCUCAGAUAUUUUACCUUGAGAAAAUUAGAGUGUUCCAGGCAGGCUUGCGCCGGAAUACAUUAGCAUGGAAUAAUAGAAUAGGACUUUAGUCUCCUUUGUUGGUUUGAGGGACUGAAGUAAUGAUUAAUAGGGAUAGUUGGGGGCAUUAGUAUUUAAUUGUCAGAGGUGAAAUUCUCGGAUUUGUUAAAGACUAACUUAUG
RNAcentral lists this ribosomal RNA (342 nucleotides) under uncultured eukaryote. RNAcentral's name for it is "SSU rRNA". It matches the Rfam family "Eukaryotic small subunit ribosomal RNA", at positions 594 to 945 of the family's 1831-position model. The record is from RNAcentral.